RNAcentral lists this ribosomal RNA (432 nucleotides) under uncultured bacterium. Its description in RNAcentral is "bacterial SSU rRNA". It matches the Rfam family "Bacterial small subunit ribosomal RNA", at positions 917 to 1350 of the family's 1533-position model. The record is from RNAcentral.
GGGCCCGCACAAGCGGUGGAGUAUGUGGUUUAAUUCGAUGCAACGCGAAGAACCUUACCAGGGUUUGACAUCCUGCGAAUUUCUGGGAAACCGGAAAGUGCCUUCGGGAGCGCAGUGACAGGUGGUGCAUGGCUGUCGUCAGCUCGUGUCGUGAGAUGUUGGGUUAAGUCCCGCAACGAGCGCAACCCACGUCUUUAGUUGCCAGCAUUUAGUUGGGCACUCUAGAGAGACCGCCGGUGAUAAACCGGAGGAAGGUGUGGAUGACGUCAAGUCAUCAUGCCCCUUACAUCCUGGGCUACACACGUACUACAAUGCUACGGACAAAGAGCAGCAAGUUCGCGAGGACAAGCAAAUCUCAUAAACCGUGGCUCAGUUCAGAUCGUAGGCUGCAACUCGCCUACGUGAAGGAGGAAUCGCUAGUAAUCGCAGGUC